RNAcentral lists this unclassified non-coding RNA (314 nucleotides) under uncultured fungus. Its description in RNAcentral is "sequence contains ITS1". Lineage: Eukaryota; Fungi. The record is from RNAcentral.
GUAUAUGAUUAUUAUAGGCACAUAGGCCCAUUGAUCACAUUCUACGACAUACAAUGUGGUAUAUGAAUACAUAGUACUCGAGGGAGAGGUUUUAUAAGUCAUUUAAGAAGAGCUGUACGCUUUCGCACUCAGCAAUCCUCACGUCCGGAAAGGCUAUAGCCAUCCGAUAGCCGACUGAUCUCAACCCCCAAGACUACAAAAGGUGCACAGGUGGAUGAAUAGAGUCAAGACAAGCGUGCACAUGCCCCGAAGAGCCAGCUACAACCCAUCAAGAAUAUUCAAUAAUGAUCCUUCCGCAGGUUCACCUACGGAAA